Long non-coding RNA from Nerophis ophidion (straightnose pipefish), 1252 nucleotides. RefSeq lists it as uncharacterized. The record is from RefSeq and is a predicted model, not a curated record. NCBI's taxonomy places the organism in Eukaryota, Metazoa, Chordata, Actinopteri, Syngnathiformes, Syngnathidae. The transcript is spliced from 2 exons.
CCCAAAGCAUGAUGUUUCCACCUCCAUGCUUCACAGUAGGUAUGGUGUUCUUGAGAUGCACCUCAGUACACUUCUUCCUCCAAACACGACGACUUGAGUUUCUACCAAAAUGGAUACAUGGAUGAUACAGCAGAGGAUUGGGAGAAUGUCAUGUGGUCAGAUGAAACCAAAAUAGAACUUUUUGGUAUAAAUUCAACUCGUGGUGUUUGGAGGAAGAAGAAUACUGAGUUGCAUCCCAAGAACACCAUACCUACUGUGAAGCAUGGGGGUGGGAACAUCAUGCUUUGGGGCUGUUUUUCUGCUAAGGGGACAGGACGAUUGAUCCGUGUUAAGGAAAGAAUAAAUGGGGCCAUGUAUCGUGAGAUUUUGAGCCAAAACCUCCUUCCAUCAGUGAGAGCUUUGAAUGGUUGACCAAAUAAUUAUUUUCCACCAUAAUUUACAAAUAAAUUCCUUAAAAUUCCUACAAUGUGAAUUCCUGGAUUUUUUUCCCACACUCUGUCUCUCACAGUUGAAGUGUACCUAUGAUGAAAAUUACAGACCUCUGUCAUCAUUUUAAGUGGGAGAACUUGCACAAUCGGUGGCUGACUAAAUACUUUUUUGCCCCACUGUAUAUGCCGACAGUCCACACAAUCUAAAAAGGUUAUACUUGUUUUUCUUUUCUUCCAUUUCACAACAUUGAUGAUGGAUUGACUUCAAAGCACAACCCGUUAUUGCUUCAAAGUAAUCUGUCCCUGUGUCAAACCAUGAACAUUAACGUCAAAACUAUUUUUAAUUGCAAAAGCUCUUUUUAGCUCGCAUUUUGACAUAUUGCCUUGUCAUGGAGUGUACAGUGUAAAAAGAAGUUAGCCACUAGGGCCAAUGUGGUGUUGCCAAUGAGCCUUUCCACAGUCACAAGGAGAACAUGCACAGUCCACGCAGAAAAGACCCCGAGUCAAACUCAGGACCUUCUUACUGCGAGGUACGAACUCUACCCACUGCCCCACCGUGCUGCCGACUUCUAAUUCUCAAAUGUAAAUACUUUAUAACACAUGAAUUCGAUGCGGUGUCAUAAUGGCGGUUCGGUCUGAGUGACUAUAAAGGCUUUAGUCAAUGAAUAAAUCAACUUCUCAGGGAAAAUGUUUGUCUAUUUUAAGAUUUACUUCAUGUGUAACCAUUUUAUUAUAUCUUCUCAUGGGACAGUACAAUCCAAGUACACUUCAAAGUCAUACAUGUACAGUUUGGAAAUAAGUAUAAAGUUUCUUGCUUCUGUAAA